Mercenaria mercenaria is the source of this 1531-nucleotide RNA transcript. RefSeq lists it as uncharacterized. The record is from RefSeq and is a predicted model, not a curated record. Lineage: Eukaryota; Metazoa; Mollusca; Bivalvia; Venerida; Veneridae. The transcript is spliced from 4 exons.
UUUAUAUUGAAUGUCAGUUUUGAAGUUUUCAUAUAUAAAAGACUGACAGAAAAGGGAAAUAUUUAAAAAUAUGGAUACAGCUGAAAACAUUUGAUUGUUUGCAAUGUUAAGUUCGUAUGAAGAUGACAUUUACAUUUCAGAAAAAAAUAUCAGUGUAACGUAUAAUUGUUAAAGGAAACUGAAGUCGCUGGUACCGCAGAUAUGUCGAACCGAAAGAGGAGCAACAUGCAACAGGCUAGACCACAGUUGCCUCCUAUUAUCAACGAAGAUGACGGAGAGCUGCCAUUCUUUAAACAGGACUUUUUCUCCGAUGUGGCGCUCAUUGUAAGUACCGACGAACCCACGGAUCAUCAUGGAGCCCGAAAAACUAAAAAUGUGAUAUCUGGAAAGAAACUAUACACUGCUCGCUGUAUUCUGGCGUACAAUUCUCCAGUGUUUGAAAAGAUGAUGGGUAACGCCAAGAAGCACGAAAUUGAUCUGUCAAACAAGAACUUUGACGAUAUAGUGGAAUUAAUGUGCUUCCUCGAUCCCAGGGUUCCCUAUACCGUUACUGCUCAAUCUGCGAAACAAUUGCUGCCUCUAUCUGAAGAGUUCGAGAUGCACAAAUUAAGGAAACAAUGCGAAAAUAUCUUAUAUUCUACCUAUAUAAGCUUACGCAAAAAGCACAGGAUCGGAACCAUUCCUUUUGAAACAAAUGAAGAAUAUCUGUUGCUCGCAGACCGUUACGGAAUGUAUGACCUAAUCCAGAUGUGUGUCGAUGAGUACGUAUCAAACUCAGAUGUUGCUGCUGCUAAGGUAGCAGUCAACUCUGACACAUUAUCUGAAAAGGUGAAACUAUUGAUUCUGAGGAAGAAGUUAGCGAUGCUGAACAGCCAUUUAGAGAAAGAGCGGAGAUACAGAGCAGAGGCAGAAAUGAAAGCGAGUCGCUUACAACCGACAACAAAUUGGAAGAAAUACUGGCAUACAGAUGAAGGACAUGUAGCUCAUCACACGUCUGGAAGAUAAUUGAACACAUAUUGUGACUUAAUAAGAAUAAAUUAAGUGCUGCUUCUGGUUUUAGUGACAGUGAUUUUCGGUCUUGAACUUAGGUUGAAUUCAGACACUGACGAAGUGUUCUUAAGACUUCGUGCAUAACAUGCUUUAUAUUUCUAGUUGACCUUGAAAAGAAGUGUUUACUUAAUACUGUGUGACAUUUACCGUUUAGUUUAUACCUUCGUAGAAUCUUUUUUAUUAAACUGGUGAAGAUUGCAAUUAUAAAGACAAUCCAAAAUAUUCAUUAUUUUACGUAUAUGUCACAUUGAUAAAUAGUCAUAUUUUUGGCGGGUGAGUUUUAGUUCACAAACAUAUUAAAUCAAGGCGUGCGAUUUUAACAAAGAAGUCUGCCAUCAAAUUCUGACAGCUCAGACAGCCAAACAACUACUUCCGCUCGCGGAGGAAUAUGAAAUGUUCAAGUUGCGCCGUAACUGUGCGAAUGUUCUACACACGGCUUACGAACAACUUAGAAAAGAAUACCGGCUUGGACAUAUGCCUU